UGAUGCGGUCAUACCAAGGCUACUACACCAGAUCCCAUCAGAACCCUGAAGUUAAGCGCCUUUGGGCCGGAAUAGUACUGGGAUGGGUGACCU
This 93-nucleotide ribosomal RNA is filed under the name Anacolia laevisphaera. Lineage: Eukaryota; Viridiplantae; Streptophyta; Bryopsida; Bartramiales; Bartramiaceae. The record is from RNAcentral.